AUGUGGGACGGUGCCGUCAGCAGGGACUGCUGGCGCUGGUGCUCACACAGGAAGUCCCCGGCACAGCUGCCUUCCAGAGCCUCUGCCACGUCGCUUCCGCCACCACGUCUGCCGGGUCAUCCAACGCCCGGACAUGCUGGCGUGGCCCUGGCCCUGAUGACCCUGGCGUGCCACUGUCGCAGCCUCGGGGUGCUGAGACGCUCCCCAGCUGGUCAGGCUGAGGUUCUUACUGAAGGCCGUCUAAGGAGCUCCUGUCUGCAGAGGUCGGACGUCCCCGCCGCGAGGCCCUGGUGCUGCCGUGUGGUGAGCGGUGCGUCCGCUCCCUCUGCAGCCUGGAAACCCGAGGGCAGCGCCCCUCAACCUCCCUGUGCGGGGCCGGCACUGUGGCUUAGCGGGUGAAGCUGCUGCUUGCAGUGCCAGCGUCCACACGGCUCCAGUCCCAGCUGCUCCACUUCCGAUCCAGCUCUCUGCGGUAGCCUGGGAAAGCAGUGGAAGACGGCCCAAGUCCUUGGGCCCCUGCACCCGUAUGGCGUGGGUGAGCCUAUUCUCGGCACUUGGGAAUCUUCUAGAUGAGAGGGCUCGUCCAUGAGAGGACAGAUGGAGCUGGGAGCGCUAGCCAGACCUGCCCUGGAGGGGCGGUGUCCUGGAAACCGUGGGAGAAGGAUUUGGAAAUGAAAGCCAGCAGCUGUACAAUGGGGACUUCCCAGGGGUCCCCAGGCCGGAGGCAGCAGUAGCGGCCCCUAGGGGCUGCUCCCCUGACUCCCAAGAAGACACCCGGCCCUCGCUCAGGCCACGUUUCUCCUAGGCUUCGUUCUAAACUAUGGAUUUUCUAGUCUGUGGUGGAAAAGAAACGGCAAAUCAGAAGGUGGGGGUGGGGGUGGGGCUGUGAGACACCGAGGCAGAGGAUGGAGAAACCCGAACAGGAAGCGCAGACUUGGGUCCUUCGAAUGCCGGGUAAGAGAACAGCCGAUUCCCCUCCCCAGGCAGGUGCAGCUGUUUAACCUUCCUGGUUGAUGGAUGGAGUGGAGGGAGGGGCCAGGAGUUGGGGCUGCUGGGAGGCCUCUAGGGCCCUGGGGGCAGCCCUCAGGUGGAGGGUGUUCUCCAUGGAGCCUUGGUGAUUAUUUGAGCUCAACUUCAGCCUGGCCUCUCUCCUUCCUGGCUCACCAGGCGAUGGCACCUCUGCACCUGCUACUGCGAGCUGAAAUGCCCCCCCCCCCCCCCCGGGAAGCUCCGCUCAGAUAUUUCAGUUGAAGACAUGAGAAGCAGGCUACGGCCCCCACCAGUGGCCUGUGGUCACCACUUCACACUCUAACAGUGCGUACCUGUACUGCGGCCUGCAGUGAUCGGCACAGUUAGGGCACGCUUUACGUCCUCGGUUCAAAAUCAUGGGAUGAGCAGGGCUCAGAAGGGUUUUUGAAAUAAAAAAUACACUUUGUAUCA
Molecule: long non-coding RNA, 1440 nt
Filed under: Oryctolagus cuniculus (rabbit)
Lineage: Eukaryota; Metazoa; Chordata; Mammalia; Lagomorpha; Leporidae
Description: lncRNA (ENSOCUG00000029904.1)
Source: RNAcentral